AGAGUUUGAUCCUGGCUCAGAAUGAACGCUGGCGGCAUGGAUUAGGCAUGCAAGUCGAGCGCGAACGUUUUCUUCGGAGAACAAGUAGAGCGGCGAAAGGGUGAGUAACACGUGAGUAACCUGCCCCCGACUCUGGAAUAGCCCCGGGAAACUGGGAUUAAUGCCGGAUGGUGCCGGAAUUCCGCAAGGAGGUCCGGCUAAAGAUUUAUCGGUCGGGGAUGGGCUCGCGGCCCAUUAGCUAGUUGGUGAGGUAACGGCCCACCAAGGCUUAGACGGGUAGGUGGUCUGAGAGGAUGGUCACCCACACUGGGACUAAGACACUACCCAGACUCCUACGGGAGGCUGCAGUCGAGAAUCUUCCGCAAUGGGCGAAAGCCUGACGGAGCAAUGCCGCGUGAGGGAUGAAGGCCUUCGGGUUGUAAACCUCUGUCACCCGGGACGAAGAAUUGACGGUACCGGGAGAGGAAGCCACGGCUAACUACGUGCCAGCAGCCGCGGUAAUACGUAGGUGGCGAGCGUUAUUCGGAUUUACUGGGCGUAAAGGGUUCGUAGGGGGUUUGCCAAGUCUGAUGUGAAAUCCCGCGGCUCAACCGCGGAAGUGCAUUGGAUACUGGCGAACUAGAGUUCACGAGAGGAAAGCGGAAUUCCUGGUGUAGCGGUGGAAUGCGUAGAUAUCAGGAAGAACACCGGCGGCGAAGGCGGCUUUCUGGCGUGAAACCGACCCUGAGGAACGAAAGCGUGGGUAGCAAACAGGAUUAGAUACCCUGGUAGUCCACGCUGUAAACGUUGUACACUAGAUGCGGGCGAUACUUCGGUGUUGUCCGUGUCCCAGCUAACGCGAUAAGUGUACCGCCUGGGGACUACGGCCGCAAGGCUAAAACUCAAAGGAAUUGACGGGGGCCCGCACAAGCGGUGGAGCAUGUGGCUUAAUUCGAGGCAACGCGAAGAACCUUACCUGGGUUUGACAUAUUCCGGCCCGCCUGUGAAAGCAGGCUUUUUCUUCGGAAACCGGUAUACAGGUGCUGCAUGGCUGUCGUCAGCUCGUGCCGUGAGGUGUUCGGUUAAGUCCGGCAACGAGCGCAACCCAUGUGAUUAGUUGCCAGCAGGUGAUGCUGGGCACUCUAGUCAGACUGCCCGUGUUAAGCGGGAGGAAGGCGUGGAUGACGUCAAGUCCGUAUGGCCCUUACAUCCAGGGCUGCACACGUGCUACAAUGGGUGGUACAGUGAGGCAAUACCGCGAGGUGGAGCAAAUCUCCAAAACCAUCCUCAGUUCGGAUUGGAGUCUGCAACUCGACUCCAUGAAGCCGGAAUCGCUAGUAAAGGCGUAUCAGCAACGACGCCUUGAAUACGUUCCCGGGCCUUGUACACACCGCCCGUCACAUCAUGGAAGCUGGCUGCACCCGAAGUUCCCGUUAUGCGGGACCGAAGGUGUGUCCAGUGACUGGGAUGAAGUCGUAACAAGGUAGCCGUAGGGGA
RNAcentral lists this ribosomal RNA (1476 nucleotides) under metagenome. Its description in RNAcentral is "bacterial SSU rRNA". It matches the Rfam family "Bacterial small subunit ribosomal RNA". The record is from RNAcentral.